This 4731-nucleotide long non-coding RNA is filed under the name Sus scrofa (pig). Its description in RNAcentral is "lncRNA (ENSSSCG00000046211.1, ENSSSCG00045005790.1, ENSSSCG00065074272.1)". The record is from RNAcentral. Lineage: Eukaryota; Metazoa; Chordata; Mammalia; Artiodactyla; Suidae.
UGCUGGCAACCAGUUCAGGAGAGAGGCCUAGAGCAUGCAAGAGAUAAAGUAGUGAUUGUGUCAUCUGCAAUUCAUCCUGAGGAACUGUGAUGUGAGCACACAUACAUUUAAAUAUUUGAAAAGCAUCCUUUAAAAUGAAUUUCAAAAUGACAAAUAAUCUAAGUCAGAGAAAAAUGCCCCAGUGUUUUCUAUCUCCCUUUUCUCAUUAUGGAGAUAAAUCCCAGAUGAAUCUCCAGACAGCAAGAGGGAGUGGGAAAAAUACUAGUAAUCAGAAGCACAAUAGCAAAAGAAGCGUUGCAGUAACCUGCAUGCCCAGGAAAAUAGGGCCCCAAGUCUUGCCUGCUGCCUACAAGUCUAAGAGUGGAACACAAGAGCCUUCUAGGCUCUGAGGAGGAGGCUGGCCUGAGCCAGGAGGUGGCUAGAUUGGGUGGGGAGGUGGUGAGAGGCUUGUUUACUUCGGAUUUCUUCUACUGAUAGCUUGAACUUCAAGAGAUUUGGAAUUUUGAUUCAGAUUAGCGUUCAAAAGCUAGGCUGUUUCUCACAACCUCAUCCAGCCCACUUAUGCAUGUAAAACUACAGGGGGAAUUUCAGGAAAAUAAGCCCUCGAGGGAGCCUCUCAGCCUUGCUGCCAGAAAACAGUGUAGGAGCUAGCCAGCCAGCAAGUAGAAAUGCCAGCCCUAAUGAAUCUUUCCCUGGUUAUGACCAGAAUCUCAAAGCGCUGAGGGCUGUGGAAGAGACGCAAAGGCCAGUGGAACACUGGGAGUAUUUCUCAGUCUAGGCUUCAGAGGAGAAAGGGGAAUGGAACUUGUGCUCACAGAGAAUCCUUGGAUCAGCUUCUUCGUCAGAGCUAAAGAGUACAGAGGUCAUGGAUUUGGAAAUUCCAGUACCCUAUCCUGCUGCCUAAGCUGCCUGCCUGCCCUUCUGCUGGGUUUGUCUGGGGGCUCUUGCAGGGCAGCAGGGCUUUGCACCCUGCCCAGUCACCCAGCUGCAACGUUAUUUUAAAUGCGAUUUUGUGUGCUGCCUCUAAGAAGGGCUGUGAGAAGUACAGAUGAAAUGAGCGCCAUCACUUUGAGUAGAGCAUCUGCAUAAAUCACUGUCCAGUGCAUUCAUUCCUAGUGACAGAUUAAUUCCUUUCUCAGGUUUUGCUUAAGUGUGUACCACGGAAUACUAACACUGUUCCUCAGAGAAAAGAAAGAGAAGGAGGGAGGGAGGAAGGGAGGAGAGAGAGGAGAGAGACACACACAGAGAGGAAGAAACUCAGAUGUUCCUCUCAGCAGAGUGAAAAACAGAAUGACAGUGUGUUAAAUGAGGAGGGGUUUCAAGUCUGCCCAGCAGAGAAAGCUCACAUGGCAUUUCAUCGGAGGGUAUAGACUGCGGGGGAAUCCUCGCCACUCACAAUGUGUCUUUGCAGCCUGAAAAGGUAUAGGAUGUGGGAUGACACUGCUGGCUAUUCCAGGAGCUCGGCAUUAGUCCAUUCUCAGCCUCCCCUCUGUAAGCAGGGGAAGAAGAUCAUCAUGGAGGGACGACAAAGCAUAUGAUGUGAUGUCACUCAAUUUUAAAGAUGUUAAGGAAAAUAUUCCCCAGAAGUAUUCCUUAGAAAACAGCUCUGAGCAACACACCAAGUUCAUUGAAAUGUUAGCUAGGGGAAGGAAGCCAGGAGGGAGGGGGGAGCAGUUUACCUUCCAGGACUGGUUCCUCCCUGGGCAUGUUUCUGAGCCUGCACCUGAAAAAUGACUGUGAUGGUAUUCGCAGUUUAUCAAGUCUCCCGGCAGAGGUGUCAGGCAUAGAGAACUCACUUGUCACUCCAACAUUUCCUGGCAUUUGCUAACCACCACGAGGAAUGGAGGGCAAAAGGAUUACAGAAUUAAGUGGUGCUGGUACAGCAGCUGGCGAGGGGCUGAGAUUUAGCUGUCACUUUGAAGAAAACUCCAUUUCAUUUUGUGAUCUAGAAGGAGUGAAAGUUAAAACAGGGGGCCAGGCCGGCUUUAUCUAGGUCUGCGGGGAAACUUCAGGGGGACUCUCGGCUUGUCCAGGGGUUUCCAGCUGCCAAUUUGCUCCAUCAACCCAUUUCCUCUCUGGGCAUAGAGGAAAAUCCGCUCCAUCCCAAUAAGAUCCAAUUUCACUGCUACCCUUGCUCGGGGCCCUUGACUCUACUGGAAGGUCCUCCAGGGCCUCUCACAAGUCCAGAGCUGCACCUUUACCUAAAUGAUGCUCCUAGGCAUGUGUGCCUGAUAUGAAUCUGCUUGUCCAUUAAGACCACGUGACUCAACUUAAGCAUCUCUAAGACCUACCUGCUGCCACCAAGAAGUCUUGACCAUGUUACUGAAUAAGUUACUACCUCAUCUGAAAUUGCCUGCUGUGUGCUUGCCACAGGACUGUUAAGUUUCCUGAGGCUGUAGACUGUAAUAUUAUUCAAAAAACUUUAGUGAGAAUCAUCUGUGCCUUAUAGGAUGGCAAGACAGAAGGGAUGAAUAGUGCAAAGUCCUAAUACUCAGAAGAGGGGCUAUCCCAUAGUAUGUAAUCAGUACAUAUGCUCAGGAAAUAAAAGAUUUUUUCCAUGUUUGUUUUUCAUAGCCUACCUGGACUAUGUCCACGGACAUGUUGAAACCUAUCUGUGUAUCAGUACGGCAUGGUGCUUUACUUCUGUGUGUGUGUGUGUGUGCGUUAAUUUGGCUCUUUGAUUACAAUGAAAUAAGUUAUAAUCCCUGGAAUAAGAAGUAAAUGGUCAAACACAACUGGCUGAUAGCACUUUCAGCACAGGACUGAUAAUUCUGCUAUUAGAAACCUACUGUACUCAGUGAAUCCUUAUCCUUCUCUGUCUAUGUAAUUGCUAUUCACCAUGUUUUCAUCCUCGUGACAAGCACAUUUUGAUUUGAAUUUUCAUUAAACAGAAAUUUUCCUCAUGUUCAGCUUUUAGGAGAAAAACAUACAUCACAGUAAAAGAAGCUGGUGUCAGGGAUUUAUUCAAAAGAUUAACUUUCAGGUACCGCUUAUAUUGGUAGAGAUUCAACUCAAUCCUUUGGCAUUUUCUCCAUGAAAAUCCAAAGUGAGAAAUUCAAUGUUCAAAAUGAAACAAAUCGACAUUUUCAAGGCUUAAAAAAAAUGAACCAGUGCAUCAUGUGUCAUGUCAGGCAGGGAAGAAGACAAGUUCUUUAUUGCAAAUAUUUUUAUCUCAAGGGUUAAAAUGAAAAUGAAAGUUUAUUUAAUGCUCAGUUAAUUAGCAAUCCUAAUUAACCAGGCCAUUUGACUUUCAAAAUUCUCUUUUACAUUCAUACACUGAUUCAUUCAUCCAACAUCCUUGGUGCUGAAAGCCAAGAAUGGGGAGAACAACCACGUGGUUCCUCCUCUAAGGGAAACCACAGGCUGGGAAGGGAGAAGACACUGCAAUAAAUAACAUCAAGACCUUAAGUGAGACAGGAGACAACUUGGAACAAAGUUCCAUGGUAGCAUCAGAGACAGGAAAAUGUCUAAGAGAAGGGAACCUCAGUGAACUUUUCCAAAGAAGCAGUUUCAAUUGGACCAUAAAAGAUGAAAAACAACUUCUCAAUGGGAUGGCAGAGAGGAGGAAGAGCUAUUCUAGUUUAAGGUCUCAGAUGUGCCAAGAACAGAAUCAGGUAACUGCAGAUGCCUUCAGGAAGCUUAGCAUCAUUUAUAGUGGAAAGAAGAAAAGCAGGUGGAAGACUGCUCUGAAGCUGUAGGGAUGAUAAAGAUCAGAUCACAAAGAACCUUGCAUGCUGUGGAAGGCUUUUAUGGGUUACUCUAGGGCCAGCAAUGGCCUUCAUCAAGGAUUUAAUUAUUAGGAAACACUGUCCUAUUUCUACCAUCAACUCUUCAUGGUGUUUUUCUGAAUAUUCCGUCUUUCUUUAAUCCCCCUCCACUGAAUGUCUACAUAAUUUAGAGUGUAUAACACACAAUGUAUUCUUUAAUCAUAGAUGGCUUUACUGCUAAUUGAUUAAGUAUUCUCAUCUUGUUUCUACAACUAGGUUAAUACGCACUGUCAGGACAGAGGUUAGGCCUUAAACUUUCCCUGUACAUUUGCAGGAUUCUAUGCAGAGUAGCCACUUCAGAAAUUCCUACUGAUUAAUAUUUAAUUAAUAGAUAAUUAUUUUCCAUUAAUCCACUCUAGCUGCUGAGAUAGAUAUUUAGAAACAAAGCACUAUAUUCUGCUUCAUGUUUAAAGGUACAUGUCAGCUCAAAACCUUCUUUCCAAAUUCAUCAUAGCAACUGAUUCAGCUCCUGUGUUCUCCAAGUCAACCUUCAAAACCUUUAUCUUCAAAUUCUCUUCCCCUCACUGACCACUCUACAAGGAUGAGAAAUUCUAAGCUGCUUUUUAAAAAAGAGUGAUUUUACAUAUUGGCUAUAUAUAUGGCACAUGUACUUCUGAACUGUCCAAUAAACACAGUAAUGAUAGUUGUGAUAAUUUCAAUAUUGAAAUAUUUAUUAGCUAUAAAAUUGUGUCUUUAAAUAAUAUUCAUGUGAGUUCCUCGGUGGUAAGCAGUGACACUGAGUGCCACCUGUUUUAUCUCCCCGGAAGGCAUGCUGAUCUCAAACAAAGCAGGGUGCAGUGUAACCCCGAGCAGACCUGUGAGGGUGGGUUGGCUACGGGUGCUUGUCUCUGAAGGGGAUCCUCAGGAGCUGCUUCUCUGGAUCAAGUUGCUGUGACCCUUCAUCCUUGAAGCGCUCGUUAGCCUCAUCAAGUACAGAAACAGUCAUAGGACAUUAUAGUCUCAG